UACGUAGGGGGCAAGCGUUAUCCGGAAUUACUGGGUGUAAAGGGAGCGUAGGCGGCACGUCAAGCCAGAUGUGAAAGCCCGGGGCUUAACCCCGUGGAUUGCAUUUGGAACUGGCGAGCUAGAGUACAGGAGAGGAAAGCGGAAUUCCUAGUGUAGCGGUGAAAUGCGUAGAUAUUAGGAAGAACACCAGUGGCGAAGGCGGCUUUCUGGACUGAAACUGACGCUGAGGCUCGAAAGCGUGGGGAGCAAACAGG
Molecule: ribosomal RNA, 254 nt
Filed under: uncultured bacterium
Lineage: Bacteria
Description: partial 16S ribosomal RNA
Rfam family: Bacterial small subunit ribosomal RNA
Source: RNAcentral